This 1258-nucleotide long non-coding RNA is filed under the name Numida meleagris (helmeted guineafowl). RNAcentral describes it as "lncRNA (ENSNMEG00000007558.1)". The record is from RNAcentral. Lineage: Eukaryota; Metazoa; Chordata; Aves; Galliformes; Numididae.
AUGCUUUGGAGGAAGAAUGAAUUAACCCAUGAUCAUUCAUUCCUGUUUUCCAUUGCAAGGUAUUCCUACCAUCAGGAACUGUGGGACCUUGCUACUCAUGGGAGUGAUGUCUUCACACUCAGAGUGAGGCAGACCCUUCUGGCUCCAUGUUCCACCACACUCAACAAGAUUUUCUUGAAAGUAAAGCCUGGGAUUGAUGCAGAUACCAUUAACAGCGAGAGGCUUGUUGCUGUACGCUUCUCACAUCAGCUUUGGCCUUUACUUAGGUAUUUUACAUAGCAAAAUCAUGAAUCACUUGCUGUUUGGUGUCAGUUGUCUUUGGCUUGUAUUGCUGAUUUUCUUUUCCUUUUUCUUGGCAAAGGGUCUCCAUCCAGCCAAAGAUUUCAGGGAAUUUUGCCAGUGCCCUUUGAUCUGAUCCAGCUUUAAAGCUAGAGUGAAGUUUUAUAACAAUCCAAACAAGAAAUGGAAUAAUGCUUCAAUAGAGAAAACAGAGCUCUGCUGCGUGAGAGGGAUAUAAAAGGGUUUGUAAACAAGACAGCAGUGAAUUUUAUUUUGAGCUGAGGGCUGAAAGACACCCAAGAAAACCAGAGUUCUCAAACCACAAACAUGCCUUUUGAUUCAUCUUCCUCUAUUCCCUGUGUCUUACGUUCUUCUUCCUAGUUUGAUUCUGAUACAUCUCAUUAGUGUUCAUUUGACAUUAGUCUAAGAGAAAGGCAUUACAGAAUGCAAAACAAGUGCAUGAAUGAUUGACUGACAAUUUCAUUUUCUGCAUAAAUUGUUGUAAUCUUUGUUCUGUUUCAAGGAGAAGAUGUGCAUACAGCCUCAUCUCCGCUCUUGGGGUCUAUUUUACUAAGAAAGUGUCAGUACUGAAAGCUCUCUAUAUGAAAUCGCAGAUUGGCUUCUGUAUCUGGACCUCACUCUAAAUCUUACAGUGUUGCAUGUAAUUCAGAAAUCUAAGGAAUUACACUUCUUCUGUUUGAACAACAAUAAUUAAUCUUUCCCUUCCUGCGGGAUUUGAAGGGGGCAAAGGGAAGCCCUUAGUGCUGUUGCAAGGGAGAGAGGGAGAACUGCCAGAGUGCACACACAGUAUAUGUACUUUUGUUCAGUCCUAGAUAACACUCUUUAGAGUAUACUCUCCUGUAAACUGUUCAGACCAGGUUUGUAAUGAAGAAAUACCAGUAUCAAUUUUGUGCAUUGACAUAGUACUUCAAUUUAACAAAUUAAUAAAAUAGAAUUACUAAUAGGCUUUAAGAUGAGU